GCCGGUGUAGCUCAAUUGGCAGAGCAACUGACUUGUAAUCAGUAGGUUGGGGGUUCAAGUCCUCUUGCCGGCACCA
RNAcentral lists this transfer RNA (76 nucleotides) under Bacillus subtilis subsp. subtilis. RNAcentral describes it as "tRNA-Thr". It matches the Rfam family "tRNA". From Rfam's summary of the family: Transfer RNA (tRNA) molecules are approximately 80 nucleotides in length. Their secondary structure includes four short double-helical elements and three loops (D, anti-codon, and T loops). The record is from RNAcentral. Lineage: Bacteria; Bacillati; Bacillota; Bacilli; Caryophanales; Bacillaceae.